GCUUUUCAUUGGGGAGCUCAUGAAGCAGUCUGAGCGGUACAUUGACGAAGGUAUGCAUCCCCGAGUAUUGGUAGAUGGAUUUGAUAUUGCUAAAAGGGCCAUUCUUGAAUUUCUUGAGAAGUUUAAGACCCCUGUUGUGAUGGGUGAGACACCGGAUAAGGAGAUACUAAAGAUGGUGGCGAGGACAACGCUGAGGACAAAGUUGUACGAAGCAUUAGCUGAUCAGUUGACUGAUAUUGUUGUGAACUCAGUACUCUGCAUACGCAAACCCGAUGAGGCUAUUGAUCUGUUUAUGGUGGAGAUAAUGCACAUGCGUCAUAAGUUUGAUGUUGAUACACGCCUGGUUGAGGGUCUUGUCCUUGAUCAUGGUUCUCGGCAUCCUGAUAUGAAACGGAGGGCAGAGAAUUGCUAUAUCUUGACAUGCAAUGUUUCUUUGGAGUACGAUAAAA
This 449-nucleotide unclassified non-coding RNA is filed under the name Hevea brasiliensis (rubber tree). The record is from RNAcentral. Lineage: Eukaryota; Viridiplantae; Streptophyta; Magnoliopsida; Malpighiales; Euphorbiaceae.